This 330-nucleotide ribosomal RNA is filed under the name uncultured bacterium. RNAcentral's name for it is "bacterial SSU rRNA". It matches the Rfam family "Bacterial small subunit ribosomal RNA", at positions 568 to 898 of the family's 1533-position model. The record is from RNAcentral.
UGUGUAGGCGGUUGUUUAAGUUUGGUGUGAAAUCUCCCGGCUUAACUGGGAGGGUGCGCCGAAUACUGAAUGACUAGAGUGCGGGAGAGGAGAGUGGAAUUCCUGGUGUAGCGGUGAAAUGCGUAGAUAUCAGGAGGAACACCGGCGGUGUAGACGGCUCUCUGGACCGUAACUGACGCUGAGACACGAAAGCGUGGGUAGCAAACAGGAUUAGAUACCCUGGUAGUCCACGCCUUAAACGAUGCAUAUUUGGUGUGGGCAGUUCAUUCUGUCCGUGCCGGAGCUAACGCGUUAAAUAUGCCGCCUGGGGAGUACAGUCGCAAGGCUGAA